AGCGAACGCUGGCGGCAGGCCUAACACAUGCAAGUCGAACGAACCUUUCGGGGUUAGUGGCGGACGGGUGAGUAACACGUGGGAACGUGCCUUUAGGUUCGGAAUAACUCAGGGAAACUUGUGCUAAUACCGAAUGUGCCCUUCGGGGGAAAGAUUUAUCGCCUUUAGAGCGGCCCGCGUCUGAUUAGCUAGUUGGUUGAGGUAAUGGCUCACCAAGGCGACGAUCAGUAGCUGGUCUGAGAGGAUGAUCAGCCACAUUGGGACUGAGACACGGCCCAAACUCCUACGGGAGGCAGCAGUGGGGAAUCUUGCGCAAUGGGCGAAAGCCUGACGCAGCCAUGCCGCGUGAAUGAUGAAGGUCUUAGGAUGGUAAAAUUCUUUCACCGGGGACGAUAAUGACGGUACCCGGAGAAGAAGCCCCGGCGAACUUCGU
RNAcentral lists this ribosomal RNA (433 nucleotides) under uncultured bacterium. RNAcentral's name for it is "partial 16S ribosomal RNA". It matches the Rfam family "Bacterial small subunit ribosomal RNA", at positions 29 to 506 of the family's 1533-position model. The record is from RNAcentral.